Molecule: ribosomal RNA, 534 nt
Filed under: Triticum aestivum (bread wheat)
Lineage: Eukaryota; Viridiplantae; Streptophyta; Magnoliopsida; Poales; Poaceae
Description: partial small subunit ribosomal RNA
Source: RNAcentral
AUGUUCACGAAUACAAAGCUUAAGCCUUCCGAAGUUAUUCCAGAGGUAUUAAUUUCUACUGCCCAAGUGGAUAUUGGUCCUUUUGGAAGACAAUUUCAGUUUGGCCAUCCUCACACCAUUGAGUCUUGUUGUCCAAAUUUGUUAUUUUCAUUCUCCUGCUCCUUCCCCACUGAUUCUCUUCUCUGCACUCUACGGUUGCAAAUUGGCUACAAGGCUUUCACUUCAAUAAGGUGGAGAAAAGAUAAGCAAGACAAUGCCCUUUCUGAGCAUACCAAAUUCCUGGGAGAUCUUGAGGGCAUGGGGCUCGAUAUAGGCUUGGAAAUUGAUUGGGCGAGGAUUCGGCCUGAAAAAUAUCACACUCAGGCUAAAAAUUAUCAGUUGUCAAACACUUUGUACAUACUGGAGUUGCAGGCAAAAGAAGCCAACCAGCGUGAAUGCCGUUUGGUUCGAAAUAUUAUUGCCUUGAAAAUGUCGGAGUGCUCUGUAGUUUGUGAUCAACCAAAACGCUCGGAGUUUUUGAAAGACCAAAAAUGA